UUAAGCGACUAAGCGUACACGGUGGAUGCCCUGGCAGUCAGAGGCGAUGAAGGACGUGCUAAUCUGCGAUAAGCGUCGGUAAGGUGAUAUGAACCGUUAUAACCGGCGAUUUCCGAAUGGGGAAACCCAGUGUGAUUCGUCACACUAUCAUUAACUGAAUCCAUAGGUUAAUGAGGCGAACCGGGGGAACUGAAACAUCUAAGUACCCCGAGGAAAAGAAAUCAACCGAGAUUCCCCCAGUAGCGGCGAGCGAACGGGGAGCAGCCCAGAGCCUGAAUCAGUGUGUGUGUUAGUGGAAGCGUCUGGAAAGGCGUGCGAUACAGGGUGACAGCCCCGUACACAAAAAUGCACAUACUGUGAGCUCGAUGAGUAGGGCGGGACACGUGGUAUCCUGUCUGAAUAUGGGGGGACCAUCCUCCAAGGCUAAAUACUCCUGACUGACCGAUAGUGAACCAGUACCGUGAGGGAAAGGCGAAAAGAACCCCGGCGAGGGGAGUGAAAAAGAACCUGAAACCGUGUACGUACAAGCAGUGGGAGCACGCUUAGGCGUGUGACUGCGUACCUUUUGUAUAAUGGGUCAGCGACUUAUAUUCUGUAGCAAGGUUAACCGAAUAGGGGAGCCGAAGGGAAACCGAGUCUUAACUGGGCGUUAAGUUGCAGGGUAUAGACCCGAAACCCGGUGAUCUAGCCAUGGGCAGGUUGAAGGUUGGGUAACACUAACUGGAGGACCGAACCGACUAAUGUUGAAAAAUUAGCGGAUGACUUGUGGCUGGGGGUGAAAGGCCAAUCAAACCGGGAGAUAGCUGGUUCUCCCCGAAAGCUAUUUAGGUAGCGCCUCGUGAAUUCAUCUCCGGGGGUAGAGCACUGUUUCGGCAAGGGGGUCAUCCCGACUUACCAACCCGAUGCAAACUGCGAAUACCGGAGAAUGUUAUCACGGGAGACACACGGCGGGUGCUAACGUCCGUCGUGAAGAGGGAAACAACCCAGACCGCCAGCUAAGGUCCCAAAGUCAUGGUUAAGUGGGAAACGAUGUGGGAAGGCCCAGACAGCCAGGAUGUUGGCUUAGAAGCAGCCAUCAUUUAAAGAAAGCGUAAUAGCUCACUGGUCGAGUCGGCCUGCGCGGAAGAUGUAACGGGGCUAAACCAUGCACCGAAGCUGCGGCAGCGACACUAUGUGUUGUUGGGUAGGGGAGCGUUCUGUAAGCCUGCGAAGGUGUGCUGUGAGGUAUGCUGGAGGUAUCAGAAGUGCGAAUGCUGACAUAAGUAACGAUAAAGCGGGUGAAAAGCCCGCUCGCCGGAAGACCAAGGGUUCCUGUCCAACGUUAAUCGGGGCAGGGUGAGUCGACCCCUAAGGCGAGGCCGAAAGGCGUAGUCGAUGGGAAACAGGUUAAUAUUCCUGUACUUGGUGUUACUGCGAAGGGGGGACGGAGAAGGCUAUGUUGGCCGGGCGACGGUUGUCCCGGUUUAAGCGUGUAGGCUGGUUUUCCAGGCAAAUCCGGAAAAUCAAGGCUGAGGCGUGAUGACGAGGCACUACGGUGCUGAAGCAACAAAUGCCCUGCUUCCAGGAAAAGCCUCUAAGCAUCAGGUAACAUCAAAUCGUACCCCAAACCGACACAGGUGGUCAGGUAGAGAAUACCAAGGCGCUUGAGAGAACUCGGGUGAAGGAACUAGGCAAAAUGGUGCCGUAACUUCGGGAGAAGGCACGCUGAUAUGUAGGUGAAGUCCCUCGCGGAUGGAGCUGAAAUCAGUCGAAGAUACCAGCUGGCUGCAACUGUUUAUUAAAAACACAGCACUGUGCAAACACGAAAGUGGACGUAUACGGUGUGACGCCUGCCCGGUGCCGGAAGGUUAAUUGAUGGGGUCAGCGCAAGCGAAGCUCUUGAUCGAAGCCCCGGUAAACGGCGGCCGUAACUAUAACGGUCCUAAGGUAGCGAAAUUCCUUGUCGGGUAAGUUCCGACCUGCACGAAUGGCGUAAUGAUGGCCAGGCUGUCUCCACCCGAGACUCAGUGAAAUUGAACUCGCUGUGAAGAUGCAGUGUACCCGCGGCAAGACGGAAAGACCCCGUGAACCUUUACUAUAGCUUGACACUGAACAUUGAGCCUUGAUGUGUAGGAUAGGUGGGAGGCUU
Molecule: ribosomal RNA, 2128 nt
Filed under: Escherichia coli
Lineage: Bacteria; Pseudomonadati; Pseudomonadota; Gammaproteobacteria; Enterobacterales; Enterobacteriaceae
Description: bacterial LSU rRNA
Rfam family: Bacterial large subunit ribosomal RNA
Source: RNAcentral